Molecule: long non-coding RNA, 1955 nt
Organism: Cebus imitator (Panamanian white-faced capuchin)
Lineage: Eukaryota; Metazoa; Chordata; Mammalia; Primates; Cebidae
Exons: 4
Source: RefSeq, a predicted model, not a curated record
UGGUGGGGGCGGGGCUUGUGGAAACGGCCCGCCGCAGGGUUGGCAGGCUUGAGAAGCAGCGAAUAUGGCGGAGUGAGGUGUUCAGCUGUGAACUGGCCUCUGGGCCGGGGGUAGGCCAGUCCGGCCAGCCCCCGGGAGGCCGAGUGCAUCUGUUGGACCGUGCGAGGAGAAGAAAAAAAAAGAGAUCGGCCAGAGGAAAGGAACUGAGCAUUCUUCCUCCCUGCCUUACCGAGGGGAGUGGUCACCUACACUAAAGCAAAGAUCUAAAUAGAGGUCCAUAAUCUACUGGAAAUUUUAUGCACAAUUACAAAUUUUUGUGGGAAGAAGAAGGUCCAUAACUUCAGAUUCUCAAAAAGGACAGUGUUCCAGAAAAACUUGAGAAUCAGUGCUUCAAGACUUGACAUCUUUUUAAAAAUAAUGCCAGUGCAGAUUCCUUAUCACGGGAAGAAUAUUUUCCUUGACAUUUGAGUGCUUUUAUAUUCAUCUCAAAAACAAAAUUCUGAACUCAGGACUUGGCAAGUGUCUCUACGUUGUCUCCUAGAGUGUGUAGUUCUACUUCUUUUACCCAGUUACUUUCUCUAUUUUUAAAAUGUGGAUAUCACUUCUCUAUACAUUAUCUCCAUGAUUUGGAAUGAAAAAGUCCGCUUUUUUUUUGUUCUGCCUCUCAGACUGAACACAGAGGAGCUCCUAGGAUUCCAGUUAUCCUGCCAACUUCUCCACGAAGAAAGAAGAAACUCACCUAGGUGUUCUGCUAUUUGCUUAAUUACAAAGACAUCAUUUUGCAAGCUGAAGGCUGAGUUUCAUUUGAAACAGGUCUCCGUAGGUGGUGGUAUUUGUGAAUACUUUUCGUUACGAACAAGAAGACUAAAUAAAUAGCAAGUAUGGAUGACUUCAGGGUUUAAAAACAAAAAUGUCUUCCAAUUUCAGCCACUAUCCUGAUAAGCACAGUUGAGACUGCAGCAGUAAAUUCCAAAUACGCAUUUCUAAUUUGACAUGAAAGAUAGUAAAAAAUUACAUAUAUUUAUAUAUUGAAAUCCUGGCUCAUCCUGUGACAUAGAUUUACUGAAUAAGAACAAAGACAAAAUUUUAUACAAAAACCUGGGCCAAGCAUGGUGGCUCAUGCCAUAAUCCCAACACUUUGGGAGGCCGAGGCGGGCGGAUCACCUGAGGUUGGGAGUUCGAGACCAGCCUGACCAACAUGGAGAAACCUCAUCUUUACUAAAAAUACAAAAUUAGCUAGGCAUGGUGGCGCAUGUCUGUAAUCCCAGCUACUCUGGAGGUUGAGGCAGGAGAAUUGCUUGAACCUGGGAGGUGGAGGUUGCAGUGAGCCGAGAUUGUGCCACUGCAUUCCAGCCUGGGCAACAGAGUGAGACUAUCUCAAACAAAUGAAGAAAAAAAAACAACUUUGGACAUAGAGGAGUCGGAGGUGGGAUGGGAGGAUGAGAGAAUUUUUCAUAUAACUCCUUUUCCCUAAGAAAAGCAAAAAUGCCUCAUGCAGUGCCAUCUGACUUUAUGGUGUUUUGUAUUAUAUAUUCAUUGUUUUCCUUCAACCCAAGGUGGAUAGUUUGAUUGCUUUUUUUUUUUUUUUUUUUUGAGGCAGAGUUUCACUCUUUUGCCCAACCUGGAGUCAGUCUCUCUGCCACCCAGGUUCAAGCGAUUCUCCUGCCUCAGCCUCCCAAGUAGCUGGGAUUACAGGCGCCCACCACCACGUCCGGCCUGAUUUCUUACCCAAGAUACUAGGUGUAGUGUUAGGCUCAAAAGGCUGGGACUCAAGUACUUUUCCUGGUUGGGACUGAACUUUCUCAUCGGAGAAUGAAUGGGCCUCAGAAACAAUGUUCCCAAACUUGUAAUUGGAUCAUUGUAGAUUCAGGAUGUGGAAAAGAAACCUUGAACAAGAAAAAUAGUUACAUUAAGAAAUGGAUUUUCUUUUUUUACCAUAGUAGUUAUUCGUUAUA